AGUGUGACGUGGAUGCACUUCUCCGAGUUGCCGUAGAAAAGCGAAAGCCUCCUCUAUUCACGAUGUCAUACUUAAAAUUGGUGUCGCUGUGGUCCGCGGCUCCGGCCCUGAUGAGCGGCUCGGCGCUGACUUCCGGCGGGAGUAAAAAGAAGAGCCCAGAGCCGAUUCUGAGCAUCGAUGAGCUGCCGUCUCUGUACACCCGACCCG
Nematolebias whitei (Rio pearlfish) is the source of this 207-nucleotide long non-coding RNA. RefSeq lists it as uncharacterized. NCBI's taxonomy places the organism in Eukaryota, Metazoa, Chordata, Actinopteri, Cyprinodontiformes, Rivulidae. The record is from RefSeq and is a predicted model, not a curated record. The transcript is spliced from 3 exons.